Long non-coding RNA from Mauremys reevesii (Reeves's turtle), 795 nucleotides. RefSeq lists it as uncharacterized. The transcript has 3 exons. Lineage: Eukaryota; Metazoa; Chordata; Testudines; Geoemydidae. The record is from RefSeq and is a predicted model, not a curated record.
GGAAGCUAGAAAAAAAUGAAAAGGCCUACACAUAUGCAGCCAUCGGGGCAAAAAAGGCAAUGAUAGAAUGGCAACAAGUGUCAGUGACACCUGAACCCAGGUGGCCCAAGUUAUGUAUUGGUGAUGGAGAUGGAUAGAGAGGAAGCGGAAGGAUAUGCAGAGCCAAUGGUGACUACGUGAGAUGUACUGCAGCACUUAGGAAGGCAACAGUGGUGUAUAGAAAUGGAAGGACUAGAGACUUGGAGAGGAUGUUUCCCUCUUGUCAGUGGGCAAGUUACUCGGGUGAAAACAGUGGCCAGAAAUUUGUCCCGCACAGUUGGUAUAUCUGAAGAUUUAAGGUGAAAUCCUGGCCCCAUUGAAGGCAAUGACAAAACUCUCUUCCAUUGAUGAAUAAAUGACUUCAAAGAGGCUGCCACAAACUGACCUUGGCUUUAGUGCACGGACAGAAUGUUGAGAAGUUUGAAGAGGCAGCACACAGAAAAUAAAAGGCAUCGGCUUUGUAGCUAUGACACAAGAAAAAGGUAUAUUAUCAUAAUAGCUUACAACAGACCAGUUCUUAUGUUCUAGCAUUUUCCUUUCUCCCCUCCACCUCAGGCUGCCUUCUGGUUUACACGGACUUUUCUUUUGCUGGCAGCACCCCAUUCCGGCUCAGAACAAUCCAUAUGUCUGUUCUCCUUCGUCCAGAUGUCCCUGCUCUUGGAUGUAAUCCCAGCUUCUGCAUUUCUAGCUGAAAGAGAAUUUCUUUUAUGUCUCCUAAAAGCUGUUGUUGCUCUUGACCUUUCUAGUUUCUGGAUA